UGGAAAUGAUGAAAUAGAGAUAGUUGGGUGUUGAAUGUUGUAUGACUGGAAAUUUUAGUAAUCUGUAAGUAAUUCUUUCAGUUGAGUAUUUUGUAGUUAGUUAAUAGAGUGUGUGCGCGUGUGUGUGUGUAUGCGCUUGUGGCUAUGGAAAGGGGGCACUGAAUGGUGAUGCUGAUAUUGGAGUGCAUCUGAGGCUGUUGUAGAAAAUAACAUGGGUUCUUGAUUACAACAUUGCCAAUGAUUAUUACCCAAGAACAGCUCACCUAAGUAGCCUAGCACCCUAAAAUCUCUAACAGGUUCAUUGAUGUGGUCCUGUGAUCUGAUCCAA
Small nucleolar RNA from Cavia porcellus (domestic guinea pig), 328 nucleotides. It matches the Rfam family "Small Cajal body-specific RNA 7". Lineage: Eukaryota; Metazoa; Chordata; Mammalia; Rodentia; Caviidae. The record is from Rfam.